RNAcentral lists this ribosomal RNA (523 nucleotides) under Hypocreales sp. RNAcentral's name for it is "partial large subunit ribosomal RNA". It matches the Rfam family "Eukaryotic large subunit ribosomal RNA", at positions 100 to 648 of the family's 3401-position model. The record is from RNAcentral. Lineage: Eukaryota; Fungi; Ascomycota; Sordariomycetes; Hypocreales.
GGCAACAGCUCAAAUUUGAAAUCUGGCCCCUAGGGUCCGAGUUGUAAUUUGCAGAGGAUGCUUUUGACAAGGUGCCUUCCGAGUUCCCUGGAACGGGACGCCAUAGAGGGUGAGAGCCCCGUCUGGUCGGAUACCGCGUCUCUGUAAAGCUCCUUCGACGAGUCGAGUAGUUUGGGAAUGCUGCUCAAAAUGGGAGGUAUAUGUCUUCUAAAGCUAAAUAUUGGCCAGAGACCGAUAGCGCACAAGUAGAGUGAUCGAAAGAUGAAAAGCACUUUGAAAAGAGGGUUAAAAAGUACGUGAAAUUGUUGAAAGGGAAGCGCCUAUGACCAGACUUGGGCCCGGUGAAUCAUCCAGCGUUCUCGCUGGUGCACUUUGCCGGGCACAGGCCAGCAUCAGUUUGGCUUGGGGGAAAAAGGCUUUGGGAACGUAGCUCCUCGGAGUGUUAUAGACCAUUGCAUAAUACCCUGGGCCGGACUGAGGUUCGCGCAUCUGCAAGGAUGCUGGCGUAAUGGUCAUCAGCGAC